Molecule: ribosomal RNA, 253 nt
Filed under: uncultured bacterium
Lineage: Bacteria
Description: partial 16S ribosomal RNA
Rfam family: Bacterial small subunit ribosomal RNA
Source: RNAcentral
UACGUAGGGUGCGAGCGUUGUCCGGAAUUACUGGGCGUAAAGAGCUCGUAGGUGGUUUGUCGCGUUGUCCGUGAAAACUCACAGCUUAACUGUGGGCGUGCGGGCGAUACGGGCAGACUGGAGUACUGCAGGGGAGACUGGAAUUCCUGGUGUAGCGGUGAAAUGCGCAGAUAUCAGGAGGAACACCGGUGGCGAAGGCGGGUCUCUGGGCCGAUACUGACGCUGAGGAGCGAAAGCGUGGGGAGCGAACGGG